This 467-nucleotide unclassified non-coding RNA is filed under the name Hevea brasiliensis (rubber tree). Lineage: Eukaryota; Viridiplantae; Streptophyta; Magnoliopsida; Malpighiales; Euphorbiaceae. The record is from RNAcentral.
UUCCCUGAGUUCCAGCCGAUCAAGGUGAGGGAUUCUAGUGUUGAAUUUAACUUUUUGGCUGAGCUGUACACUUGAAUUUGUGCUCUUCAAUUUGGAAUUUGGUUUUCUAGUUUGGAUUUUGUUUUUAAGUUUCUGGUGUGUGUUUGACAUCUUAGUUUAAUUAUAGAAUUUUACAACCACCAUUGUUAACUUGUGGGUUGCUAAACAUUGGUGCUCGAAAUCUUUUCUGGUCUGGGAUAACUAGUGUAGAGAUGCAGCACUGUUUAUAUUAAUAAUUGUGCCAAUGAAAUGAAUUUUGCGUGCUUGACUUAGUUUUGGAGUCAGGAACCCGGGGAUCAAAACAAUAUGACAGAUAGAUAAACGGUAAGAACCAAGUCAGUGUGGAAAGACAACAUUUGGAUAUUAUGUUUAGAAAACACAGAAGAUGUGAAGUAGGAAGAAAAUGGAAUCAAUGGGAACUUAUAAUG